GACGAACGCUGGCGGCGUGCCUAAUACAUGCAAGUCGAACGAGAGCGACCGGUGCUUGCACUGGUCAAUCUAGUGGCGCACGGGUGAGUAACACGUGGGUAACCUGCCCAUCAGAGGGGGAUAACAUCCGGAAACGGAUGCUAAAACCGCAUAGGUCUUCGAGCCGCAUGGCUUGAAGAGGAAAAGAGGCGCAAGCUUCUGCUGAUGGAUGGACCCGCGGUGCAUUAGCUAGUUGGUGAGGUAACGGCUCACCAAGGCCGUGAUGCAUAGCCGACCUGAGAGGGUGAUCGGCCACAUUGGGACUGAGACACGGCCCAAACUCCUACGGGAGGCAGCAGUAGGGAAUCUUCCGCAAUGGACGCAAGUCUGACGGAGCAACGCCGCGUGAGUGAAGAAGGUUUUCGGAUCGUAAAACUCUGUUGUUAGAGAAGAACAAGUGCUAGAGUAACUGUUAGCGCCUUGACGGUAUCUAACCAGAAAGCCACGGCUAACUACGUG
RNAcentral lists this ribosomal RNA (498 nucleotides) under uncultured bacterium. Its description in RNAcentral is "partial 16S ribosomal RNA". It matches the Rfam family "Bacterial small subunit ribosomal RNA", at positions 28 to 507 of the family's 1533-position model. The record is from RNAcentral.